RNAcentral lists this ribosomal RNA (497 nucleotides) under uncultured bacterium. RNAcentral describes it as "partial 16S ribosomal RNA". It matches the Rfam family "Bacterial small subunit ribosomal RNA", at positions 28 to 507 of the family's 1533-position model. The record is from RNAcentral.
GAUGAACGCUGGCGGCGUGCCUAAUACAUGCAAGUCGAGCGAACGGACGAGAAGCUUGCUUCUCUAAUGUUAGCGGCGGACGGGUGAGUAACACGUGGAUAACCUACCUAUAAGACUGGGAUAACUUCGGGAAACCGUAGCUAAUACCGGAUAAUAUUUUGAACCGCAUGGUUCAAAAGUGAAAGACGGUCUUGCUGUCACUUAUAGAUGGAUCCGCGCUGCAUUAGCUAGUUGGUAAGGUAACGGCUUACCAAGGCAACGAUGCAUAGCCGACCUGAGAGAGUGAUCGGCCACACUGGAACUGAGACACGGUCCAGACUCCUACGGGAGGCAGCAGUAGGGAAUCUUCCGCAAUGGGCGAAAGCCUGACGGAGCAACGCCGCGUGAGUGAUGAAGGUCUUCGGAUCGUAAAACUCUGUUAUUAGGGAAGAACAUAUGUGUAAGUAACUGUGCACAUCUUGACGGUACCUAAUCAGAAAGCCACGGCUAACUACGUG